This 502-nucleotide long non-coding RNA is filed under the name Phoenix dactylifera (date palm). Its description in RNAcentral is "long non-coding RNA (PDAC_LNC023099)". The record is from RNAcentral. Lineage: Eukaryota; Viridiplantae; Streptophyta; Magnoliopsida; Arecales; Arecaceae.
AGCCGACCAUUGCAUUGUCCCUGGAUGGGUUUUUGAUGAUUCCAUACAACCCCAAUGCCGGAUCCAUGGAUUUGAGAAACAACCCCACCCGGGGUUUGACCCUGCUGACGCCGGAUCUGGCCGGCAUAUGGCACCGUGAGCCAUUAGAGGAUCAGGCGUAGCCGCCGGCCACGGCCAUGGUCUCCCUCCCAUUUUUUUUUUUUAAAAAAAAAAGGGAAAAGAUAAAACUCACCGGAGUUAGUGCGGGUGGUUCGACCGCCCGAGUGACGCCGUCGGGCGGCGUUUCGUCCGGCGUCGGGCCCAUCCCCGUGGCGCCGUCGGGCGGCACUUCGUCCGGCGGCAUGAUCGCCGCCCGCUGCACCAAAGGGCCGACGGGCUGGGUUCGGCGGAACCCCAGCCCGCCGGCGUUGCCCCUGCUGGCGUGCGACCGCCGGUGGCCUCGCCAUCGGGCGGCGAGUCUACCGUAGGCAGGCGGCGCGCUCGUCGCCCGGCGACCGGAGGC